This is a non-coding RNA of Oncorhynchus mykiss (rainbow trout), 2854 nucleotides long. The record is from RefSeq and is a predicted model, not a curated record. Lineage: Eukaryota; Metazoa; Chordata; Actinopteri; Salmoniformes; Salmonidae.
AGUGUGCAUAGAGACUGUGCAAAAAUUAAAAUACAAUACAAAGGUCAUCUCCGAUAGUCCGUGUAGCCAUUUUGUUAGCUAUUUAGUUAGCUAUUUAGCAGUCUUAUGGCAUGGGGUUAGAAGCCUUUCAGGAGCCUGUUGAUGUCAGACUUGAUGCACCGGUACUGCGCGGAAGCAGAGUGAACAGUCUAUGGUUUGGGUGGUUGCAGUCUUUAAUGAUUUGCCAGGCCUUCCUUUCACACCACCUGAUAUAGAGGUCCUGGAUGGCAUGGAGCUCGGCCCCAGUGAUGUACUGGUCUGUCCUCACCACCCUCUAUAGCACCAUGUGAUCAAGGGCGGUGCUAUUGCCAUACCAAGCAGUAAUGCAGUCAGUCAAUAGGAGCCCAGGAGGUGACUAAGCACGCACCCCUGAGGGGCCCCAGUGUUGAGGAUCAGCGUUGCAAAGGUGAUGUUAACUACCCUCACGACCUGGGAUCGGCCCGUCAGGAAGUCCAGGAUCCAGUUGCAGAGGGAGGUAUUCAGUCCCAGGGUCCUAAGGUUGGUGAGGAGCGUGCAUUGGACAAUGGUGUUGAACUUGUGUUUGUGUCUCUGUAAGUAAACAACGUCUAGCAGGUUGAAAAGCAAUUGACAUGCUUUAAAUCCCAGGUCACAGUAACAUAAACCUUCAGAUGCACAACUAACCCUAACCUUAACCCAAACCAAGACCUCAAGUAGGGUAUUGUCCCAAACCCAGACCUCUAGUAGGACAUUACCCCAAACCUCUAGUAGGACAUUACACCAAACCCAGAUCUCUGGCAGGAUAUUAACUCAAACCCAGACCUCUAGUAGGACAUUACCCCAAACCCAGACCUCUAGUAGGACAUUACUCCAAACCCAGAGCUCUAGUAGGACAGUAACUCAAACCCAGAUCUCUAGUAGGACAUUACACCACACCUCUAGUAGAAAAGUAACUCAAACCCCAGAUCUCUAGUAGAAAAGUAACUCAAACCCAGACCUAUAAUAGGACAUUACCCCAAACCUCUAGUAGGACAUUACCCCAACACUCUAGUAGGACAUUACCCCCAAACCCAAAGCUCUAGGAGGACAUUACCCCAAACCCAGACCUCUAGUUGGAACAUUACCCCAAACCCAGACCUCUAGUAGGACAUUACCCAAAACCCCUCUAGAUGGUCAUUUCUUAGAGUUCUGGAUUAGGAAUGUAUGUAUUAGAUUGUAGAUUGAGUUAUGGAUAAGAUGCCUGUAUUAGAUUAUAUUAAAUUGGAAACAAUGUUAAUCUGUAAGGAUGAGAUUACCUUCUGUUUUUAUCCACUGCUGCUAUUGUAGCCCUGACAAUUACCCAAACCCUAACCAGAAUCUUUCUUCCCCCCUCUCUCUCUCUCUCUCUCUCUCUCUCUCUCUCUCUCUCUCUCUCUCUCUCUCUCUCUCUCUCUCUCUCUCUCUCUCUCUCUCUCUCUCUCUCUCUCUCUCUCUCUCUCUCUCUCUCUCUCUCUCUCUCUCUCUCACCAUACUGUGACGCUUAUCGUUUAAAGUUUCUACUUCCUGUUUACUUGUUUUAUUUGUUUAUUAUUGUUUUGGUUUCAUGUGUAGUUUUGGGAGUGUCUUAUUAUCUGUGAUAUUGGCAGGGUCUUAUUAUCCGUGAUACUGGGAGGGUCUUAUUAUAUGUGACAUUGUGCAGGCUUUAUUAUCUGUGAUAUUGGGAUGGUCUUAUUAUCUGUGAUAUUUUGGAGGGUCUUUUUAUCUAUUUAUUUUAUUUUAUUAUGUGAUAUCGGAGGGGUCUUAUUAUCUAUGAUGUUGGGAUGUCUCAUUAUACGUGAUAUUGAGGGUCUUAUUAUCUGUGAUAUUGGGAUGUCAUAUUAUAAAUGAUAUUGAGAGGGUCUUAUUUUACUGUGAUAUUGGACGAGUUUUAUUAUAUAUGAUAUUGGGAGGGUCUUAUUAUCUGUGAUAUUGGGGGGGGUCUUAUUAUCGGUGGUAUUUGGAGGGUCUUAUUAUCUAUGCUAUUGGGAGGGUUUUACUAUCUGUAUUAUUGGGAGGGUCUUUUUAUCUGUGAUAUUGGAUUGUUUAUGGUUGGGAGGGUCUUAUUAUCUGUGAUAUUGGGAUGUUUACGGUUGGGAGGGUCUUAUUAUCUGUGAUAUUGGGAUGUUUACGGUUGGGAGGGGUCUUAUUAUAUGUUAUAUUGAGAGGGUCUUAUUAUCUGUGAUAUUGGGAGUGUCGUAUUAUCUGUGAUAUUGAGAGGAUGUUAUUAACUGUGAUAUUGGGAGGGUCUUAUUAUCUGUGAUUUUGGGAUGGUUACGGUUGGAAGGGUGUUAUCUGUUAUAUUGGGAGGGUCUUAUUAUCUAUUAUAUUGGGAGGGUCUUAUUGUCUAUGAUAUUGGGAUGUUUAUGCUUGGGAGGGUCUUAUUAUAUGUAGUAUUGGGAGGGUCUUAUUAUAUGUUAUAUUGAGGGGGUCUUAUUAUCUGUGAUGUUGGGAGGGUCUUAUUAAAUAUGAUAUUGGGAGGGUCUUAUUAUCUGUGAUGUUGGGAGGUCUUAUUGUCUAUGAUAUUGGGAUGUUUACGGUUGGGAGGGUCUUUUUAUAUGUAAUAUUGGGAGAGUCUUAUUAUUUGUUAUAUUGAGAGGGUUUUAUUAUCUGUGAUGUUGGGAGGGUCUUAUUAUUUGUGAUAUUGGGAGGGUCUUAUUAUCUGUGAUAUUGGGAUGGUUACGUUUGGGAGGGGUAACCCUAACUAAUCUUAAUCCAUUUGUCUGUUUGAUGUCAGGAUGGGUUAGUGUUCAUGCAGUUAGUUCUGUUACCGGAAACUACGCUACUAUACUAUUUCCUGUGCUUUCAUAUUAUCAUUUUUUAUAAAUAUAUAUUUUUAAAA